RNAcentral lists this ribosomal RNA (434 nucleotides) under uncultured Lachnospiraceae bacterium. Its description in RNAcentral is "bacterial SSU rRNA". It matches the Rfam family "Bacterial small subunit ribosomal RNA", at positions 341 to 792 of the family's 1533-position model. Lineage: Bacteria; Bacillati; Bacillota; Clostridia; Lachnospirales; Lachnospiraceae. The record is from RNAcentral.
ACGGGAGGCAGCAGUGGGGAAUAUUGGACAAUGGGGGAAACCCUGAUCCAGCGACGCCGCGUGAGUGAAGAAGUAUUUCGGUAUGUAAAGCUCUAUCAGCAGGGAAGAUAAUGACGGUACCUGACUAAGAAGCCCCGGCUAACUACGUGCCAGCAGCCGCGGUAAUACGUAGGGGGCAAGCGUUAUCCGGAUUUACUGGGUGUAAAGGGAGCGUAGACGGAAUAGCAAGUUUGAAGUGAAAGCCCUGGGCUUAACCCGGGAACUGCUUUGAAAACUGUUAAUCUAGAGUACUGGAGGGGUAUGGGGAAUUCCUAGUGUAGUAGUGAAAUGCGUAGAUAUUAGGAAGAACACCGGAGGCGAAGGCGCCAUACUGGACAGAUACUGACGUUGAGGCUCGAAAGCGUGGGGAGCAAACAGGAUUAGAUACCCUGGUA